This 4274-nucleotide long non-coding RNA is filed under the name Bemisia tabaci. RNAcentral describes it as "lncRNA ENSSSA1NGG002911". Lineage: Eukaryota; Metazoa; Arthropoda; Insecta; Hemiptera; Aleyrodidae. The record is from RNAcentral.
GUGUCAGAUCUGUUCCAGAGUAGCGUGCCACUCGCAAUUUUUAAAAAAUUGCAGAUUCAUCUUUGACGGCGAGAGUAAAGGCAACACCUGAUACCGGCAGGUUCUCCUCUCUCGUCGGUUGGCGCGGGGCCAUCUGGCAGCCCCGCAACGGUGCGCGAUAGUACCCUCACCAGUCACCAGAAAAUCCAAUCAGCCGGAGUGUUCCAUCAUCGGCGCCUCAUAGACGAAUCUGGUGCCCCCACAACCAUGCGUCCUUUCCACAUUUUCUUCUUGUGUGCUAUGUUCGCUCAGGCUUGCGUGUGCUACGAAGCCGUAUCCACAAAUGCUGCGACACACUUGUCCAAGGAGACGAUAGGGGUAGGAGCGACCGAACCAAGAAGCUUCUUCCACAAUUUCCAUAUCAACUACCCUUAUCUAUGGAACACUUGGAGUCUGCUGCCAAACCGACCAAGAGGCCAAAGUGAAGACCUCUCGAGCAGUCAGACCAACGUUAACAAUCUCGGUGCAGCUAGUAACGGACACUUGGGAAUCGGGCUAACUAUAGAUUACGGUAAACGCACAGAGGCCGGUCUAAGCCAAGCCGCCACGGACACGACCCAAGAAACAAUCAACGACACAGACGCUCCCAUCUCCGUGACAGAAACAGGCGCGGGAGCGGGCUUAGAAGCGCCUUCAAAAACCAGAGCUACCACCACCGAGACACCGGGCAACCUCAACAAAGAUGCGACUCACCCGCCGCCGAUCAUCAUCCUCGACGCUGCCACAUUUCUGGCGCUGAACCGCGAACAGCUCCAAGCCCCUCAACCAACAGUGAACCUUCAUCAAACCGGCGUCGCCGCCAGCGAGAAAAUCGAGCACACCGAAUACCCGGAUCCGCAAGUGCUGUCGCUUCCCAGUUCACCAUUUGUCUCCGAGUCGCGCGUCAAUUUCUCGUCGGGGAACCUCGUUUUCCAAGUUGAGACCAAGAACUACUCCUCCGAUCUGAGCCUGAGGACCGAAUCGAUUGCUAAACACCCCGAGAGCGCAGCUAAUUUCGACAUCAUCGCAGCGCCCUCCAACGUGGCGGCGAAUUAUACCCCCUCGGAGAAUACCUCAAACACAAACGCGGUAAGCGACGUCUCGGUUUCAGAGAAUGACGUCACAGUGUCUUCAUCAACCACCGUAACCCCGGCGCUUAAAGAUGACCCCGCCAAGGAGUCAGAAACCACCAGCAAAGAUGUUGAGAAAGAUCUUUCAGCUGGACCCGAAGAAGGAAAGAAGAAGCCCUCUGUACUGCAACCCACAACAACAUCCUCGACCCCGACGAAGACAACGUCCAAGACCUCGGAGCCCCCGCUUCUGAUCCGGGCUCACUACUACCCGGUCUCCGGCAACUUCUGGUACCCGCACAACGGGCCGUACCACUCCUACACGACGGAGUACGCGCCACAACCGCAAGUGUACCAGGAGCCGCAGGCGUACCAGAGCCCGCAGGUCUUCUUCACGAACGGCUACUCGGCGACGUCGCAGUACGACCGACCGGCGGAGCUCUACGGGAGGCCGCAGAAGCCGAUCUUCACGCCGGCUGCGGCCGCGCCGGCGGACGGCUACGGCGAAGCCUCCUUCUAUGACUACAAACCGGCGACGAAGCCGGUGUACCUGACCAAGGGCACGACCCCGUACCGGGGGGUGACCAUCUACCUGGAGUCGGAGCCGGAACCGACGACCCCGGUCCCGUCGACCGUGUUCUCGGCCAGCGAGGUGACGACCGAGAAGCCGAGCAUCAACUCCUGGUUCCGACCCCCGCAGUUCAUCAGCAACAUCAUCAGCGUCCUCCACAAGGAUAACGUCGGGAAGCCCAGGGAUAAGCCCAAGCCCACGCCUGCGCCGAAGCCUCCCAGUCGAGCGCUUCAUUGAACGAUUUUCAGACUAAAUAGACCUAGGGUACCUAUCAGUAUAGCUUGACAUUUCAAGCUAAGGAAGAACGCGAUGUGCCUAUUUUAAAUAGACCGAGUUAGGGGGCGUUUAAGUAUGGCGUGAGCUACUAAAGAGUAAGGGGGUACAGGAGAUUCCAGACACUUUGAACGGGGGGUAGAAGGGGGGUCCGAGGGCUUCCCUCAGGAAAUUUUCGAAAUUUUAAAACGUUUAUGCAGUUUGAGUAAAUUUCGUCAUGAAUAAUUAACAAAUAUCGACGGUGAAACUACCAAACCACGUAUCUCGUUUGCGGUGUUUAAAAAUCUACGCUCGCAUUUUAUUUUUUUGAAGUAGACCAAAUCAAUAUCAUUCCUUGAAAUUUUCACAGAAUUUUCUCCGCACGAAGAGGAAAAAUCACAGAGAUUUUCAAGACUGGACGUUACGUAGUUUUUCAUUUGAAAAAUAAAGUAUGACAGGAAGUCUGCAACGUCGCAAACCGAGAUACGUGGUUUGGUAGUUUCACCGUCGAUAUCCGUCUUCUUCUUGCCACUGAUCCUUCCUUCUUCCUUUUUCCCCUUUUCCCUCCGCUGUUUUUUCGAGCGAAAGGGGGACAGUGUACGCCCCCUUUACACCCCCCUCUUGGAUCCGCCUAUGAAAGGGGGUCUGAGUUUGCUUAGCCCGGUAUUAUGAGGGGGAAAAGGGAAGAGGGUGGUUCCUAGGAUUAGCCAAAAAAGUUGCUCACCCCAUACGCAUUUAAGUGAAAUUUAAGUGUUAAGCCAUUAAAGGUUUAAAAACGCAUUUCUCAGAUUGUGACGAUGCAUAUCUACCAACUUAGUUCAUUUUCUAAGAGAAAGUGAUCAACAUUAUCUUUUUUAAAAUUUCUUCCGAUUUUUCUGCGUCUUACAAAAUAUUUUGAAAACGCACAUAUUUGAUACAUAAUUGCUUUAAAAACGUACCCAUAAAAUGUGGAAGUCUUGAAUAAAAAGGUCGAGAUACGCUUUCUUAAACAUUCACAGGCCACUUAUGCCGAAGAGAAUGUCACAUUCAUGCCUGACGGUGCAUUUGAGUGCAUCCUCAGCGUGUAUGUAAACAGACUUCGAGAUAUAGAAAAACUGUUGCCAUGUAACGCAGAUUUCACUCCAAAUUUUCCACAGGCAAAAACGGAUUCAUGACUUCUUAAGAUUACAGAUAUAUUUCAGUUGGGUAAACAUAUUUUCAGAAAACUCAAAAUUUAAACCAAGAAGUUGACAGUUGCAUAUUGUGUUAUUUCAAGAGGAGUGAUAAAAGAUAAUUUUUUCCCAUUCCUCGCAUGUAAAUUGUAUAAAUUACAAUGAUAGUAGUAUCAGCCACUUUUAAUCGUAACUUAAGAAAUACCGUGUUCUGCGCACAAAAAUAGCAAGUCUGGACUUGUGUCAAAGACAGUGUAAGCAUGCUUAGACACGAAUUCACUCAGGCCUGUUAUCUACUCAGGAGAUAAUCGACAAUCUAAGUCACUAUCAACUAUAAUAAGUUAUAUACAAUUUUCAAUACAUGUCUGUUAAUAUAUGUUUGUAGGUGAGCACAAAUACAUUUUUUAACGUUCUUAAAAAAUCGACUUAUUAUUACUCGAUGCAUAUUGGCAAGUGUGUUCGAAUGAAUUCUGACUAAUAUCGGACUAAUUUCGGACUGGUUUACGACUCGUUCAAGAAUAUUCACGGUAAAUUUCAAAAGAAUGCUUUGAUCUCUUGAUUUAAAAACAAAUAAAACAUAACCGGAAAUUUUUAAAUGUUGCAAUGGAAAUAUGCAUUUUUCGACUAUGACAAUCAAUACAUUAAAAAUUCAAAUGAUCGAUUCCUCAUGAACUGACCAAAUAUUCUCGACGUCAUCGAGGAACUGAUGAGUUUAGUUCGAUGCUCUCAAAAAUUCUCAAAUACUGAGUCCAGUGCUUGAUUAGUGAACUGUUAAUGAGAAAUUAAUCACUACUCGAUCGUCCAUCGUCUCCGCCUGUCGGCAAGCCAACUUUGUUACGACCCCCUAUUCGUGAGUCCACGUCCUUGACACAGGUAAGUUUUUUCGCUAUUCCUGUAGAUCGUAACUCUAUAAAAAAGUGAAUAUUAAUUUUUCUUGCAUUUUUUCUCGCAGCUUUAUUCAUCAAGAUGAUCAUCAUAUUUUUAAAAGUUUCUAAUUUUUUCAAAAUGUAGGUUCACGCAAAAAUAACUCGCAUUUAACUGUAUUAUUGUGAGUAUGGCUUGAGAGAAAUUAAAAUAUUUAAAUUGUUAGGUAAUAAUUAAGGUUGGAAACGUUAAAAUUCAUACAAAACUUAACUUCCAAAAAUGGGAAAUAUUGGAAGGUGAUCACAGAUUUACAAUGAAUCCACAAACAAAGAUUUUUUUGGGCCGGAU